This 1155-nucleotide long non-coding RNA is filed under the name Pogona vitticeps (central bearded dragon). RNAcentral describes it as "lncRNA (ENSPVIG00000011552.1)". Lineage: Eukaryota; Metazoa; Chordata; Lepidosauria; Squamata; Agamidae. The record is from RNAcentral.
CACUGCUUGAACGUAUUAGGAUUCUCCUUUAUCCGUUGCUAAUGCUGAAGAUUAGGAAGUGGACAGAGGCGUUAACAGUGUAUAUGUCUUAAAAAACAUAAACAGCUUCUCUGGAAGGCAUUUUGGAGGCAACAUUGCAAAGAGACUCCUUCUCUGUCUCUCUGUACAUUUAAAAUGCCAUCUGUUUCUCAGACCACUAAGUAUCUGAAUCCCACAGACAUAUCUGUAGUUCUGAUCAACAUUCCUCUGUUGAGAAGACAAGAAACUGUUGCCCAAUAUCAUGUGCGCCAUUGAAGAGAAAGGCCAACCGAGAGAUGCUGGAGAAGUGUUAGAUGUUGUCGUUUUAAAACAACUUCAUUAUGUUCCAAAGCCUGUGGGAAUUAAUUGUGCGAAGAGGUUAUUGUACCACCUGUUUUGAAAAGACAAUUGUGUGCAGUUGUGGUCCUGGAAAGCUGGAUGGAUUUUAGCUCACAUUGUGAAUAAGAAAUAGCACCCUUUUGAACACUGCAAGGGAAAAAAAAAUCUAUGGAAAUGGAAUGACGCUUUGCUUUUGUGAAGGUUAAUUAAUCCCUGGAUGGUAGCCACUGUAUUUCUUGAACUGAGCUGAGCUCUGCAUUGACAAUUUCUACUUUUUCCUCUAGUGUAAUUGAAGUUUUGAGUCAAUGCUAGGAACAAAUGCUUCCCACCUAUGCCCUUUCUUGGUUAUUGCUGCUGCUAAGAGUUCCAAGGGUGACAAGUUACCCAUCCUUGUCAUAGGAGACAAACAACAUUUGCAGUUGGCCGCAGAUAACUGCAAGAACUGGAGAAGAGGAAAUAGAAAAUCAUGCCUUUGUGAUCCACAGGCCUGUAUAUUUAUUUUAUUGUAUGCUGCUUUUCUCCCCAUAGGUUCAUUGGUAUGGUGUCAGCCAGUUGCUUCCUUAUAUCUGUUGGAAAUGACUGGGUGCAACUAGCUUAUACAGUACUCAAGAAGAUGCAUGUCCUUGCAUGGGAAAGAUACAAAGAGGACUUGCUCAGGUUUCCUAGACUGUUCUUUACCUGUUCUGACCUGUCCUUUGACCUUAGAUUGCUGUUCUUCAGGUUGCUGAUGUCACUUCCUUUCUCUUCACACCUCUCUUUUGUCCUUCCAAGGAGGAGAGAUCUUGUUCUGUAGAGAUG